RNAcentral lists this ribosomal RNA (429 nucleotides) under Pseudomonadota bacterium. Its description in RNAcentral is "Proteobacteria bacterium partial 16S ribosomal RNA". It matches the Rfam family "Bacterial small subunit ribosomal RNA", at positions 355 to 776 of the family's 1533-position model. The record is from RNAcentral. Lineage: Bacteria; Pseudomonadati; Pseudomonadota.
UGGGGAAUAUUGGACAAUGGGCGAAAGCCUGAUCCAGCCAUGCCGCGUGUGUGAAGAAGGUCUUCGGAUUGUAAAGCACUUUAAGUUGGGAGGAAGGGCAGUAAGCGAAUACCUUGCUGUUUUUACGUUACCGACAGAAUAAGCACCGGCUAACUCUGUGCCAGCAGCCGCGGUAAUACAGAGGGUGCAAGCGUUAAUCGGAAUUACUGGGCGUAAAGCGCGCGUAGGUGGUUCGUUAAGUUGAAUGUGAAAGCCCCGGGCUCAACCUGGGAACUGCAUCCAAAACUGGCGAGCUAGAGUAGGGCAGAGGGUGGUGGAAUUUCCUGUGUAGCGGUGAGAUGCGUAGAUAUAGGAAGGAACAACAGUGGCGAAGGCGACCACCUGGGCUCAUACUGACACUGAGGUGCGAAAGAGUGGGGAGCAAACAGG